Molecule: long non-coding RNA, 705 nt
Filed under: Homo sapiens (human)
Lineage: Eukaryota; Metazoa; Chordata; Mammalia; Primates; Hominidae
Description: non-protein coding LNCPRESS1:25
Source: RNAcentral
AUGCAGCCGGCACGCACCUCUCCUCUGACGGGAACCGAAGGAGCCGGUAGGUUUUCACACUUGCAGCAGAUCCGCUAAGAGAACGCGGGAUUCAGCCGAGAAGCCACGGGGAGCCCGAGGAGCGGAGCAGAGGCACCCAGGCAGCCUGCGCGGAGAAAUUGGAUCGGCGGGGACGGCCUGCAGCUCCCGCGCGCGGGGAAAGGGAAGAAGUCCUCCCCUACAAAGCAAAUUCACAAACUUGGAAGAAGCAAUUUACACAGGAUGUGCAGAUCUCAAUGGAAGGACACGGGAAACGUGAAAAAGCAAGGAAGUGGGACGCCUCCAAAGGAACCCAGUAAUUCUCCAGCAACAGAUCCCCAUCCAAAAGAAAUUCAAGAAAUGUCAUAUAGAGAAUUGUGGAAACUGAUUUUAACCAAGAUUAGAGGGAUUCAAGAGACUUCUGAAAAAGAAAGUAAGGAAAUGUCAACAGCAAUUCUGGAUAUGGUUGAGGUAUUUACCAACCAGAUACAGAGUUUUCCAGAGCACAUGGCAAAUGUGGAACUGAAGAAAUCACUGGAUGAAAUACAAAGUAUACUCGAAAGCUUCAAUGAUAGACUAGAUCAAGCAGAAAAAAAACUCUCAAAACUUAAAAUCUGAAGGCUUUUACUCAAUUCAAAUAUUUAAUGGGUUGUACUCUGGCCAUUCAGGUGAACAAAAUCUGCUGGG